GUUAUUGUAGCUUACCUGCAUAAAGCAAAGCACUGAAAAUGCUAAGACGGGUGCUAAACCACCCCAAAAACA
Molecule: transfer RNA, 72 nt
Filed under: Chelus fimbriata (Mata Mata)
Lineage: Eukaryota; Metazoa; Chordata; Testudines; Chelidae
Description: tRNA-Phe
Rfam family: tRNA
About the family: Transfer RNA (tRNA) molecules are approximately 80 nucleotides in length. Their secondary structure includes four short double-helical elements and three loops (D, anti-codon, and T loops).
Source: RNAcentral